CGGGGAGUAGCGCAGCUGGCUUAGCGCACCUGCUUUGGGAGCAGGGGGCCGUGAGUUCGAAUCUCACCUCCCCGA
RNAcentral lists this transfer RNA (75 nucleotides) under Candidatus Omnitrophota bacterium. RNAcentral describes it as "Candidatus Omnitrophica bacterium (sediment metagenome) tRNA-Pro". It matches the Rfam family "tRNA". Rfam says of the family: Transfer RNA (tRNA) molecules are approximately 80 nucleotides in length. Their secondary structure includes four short double-helical elements and three loops (D, anti-codon, and T loops). The record is from RNAcentral. Lineage: Bacteria; Pseudomonadati; Candidatus Omnitrophota.